UUAAUGGAGAGUUUGAUCCUGGCUCAGGACGAACGCUGGCGGCGUGCCUAAUACAUGCAAGUCGAGCGGAUUGUACCUUCGGGUACAGUUAGCGGCGGACGGGUGAGUAACACGUAGGCAACCUGCCUGUAGGACGGGGAUAACUACCGGAAACGGUAGCUAAGACCCGAUACCUGCCCCGAGCGCAUGCUUGGGGCAAGAAACGCGGAGCAAUCUGUGGCCUAUAGAUGGGCCUGCGGCGCAUUAGCUAGUUGGUGGGGUAACGGCCCACCAAGGCGACGAUGCGUAGCCGACCUGAGAGGGUGACCGGCCACACUGG
Molecule: ribosomal RNA, 319 nt
Filed under: Paenibacillus agricola
Lineage: Bacteria; Bacillati; Bacillota; Bacilli; Caryophanales; Paenibacillaceae
Description: bacterial SSU rRNA
Rfam family: Bacterial small subunit ribosomal RNA
Source: RNAcentral